Molecule: long non-coding RNA, 707 nt
Organism: Hyla sarda
Lineage: Eukaryota; Metazoa; Chordata; Amphibia; Anura; Hylidae
Exons: 4
Source: RefSeq, a predicted model, not a curated record
GCAGCUUAUCUGGGGCUGAGUUGGGGCCCGUACAGGAGAGCGCGCUCGAUGCCAGCAGUUGGGCCCCAGUGAUCAGACAUUUAUCCCCAAUCCUGCAGAUGGAGGAUACAUUUCUUGGCACUGGACAUCAUCUUUAACACUACACACAAGGAUCAGAAUCCGCUGACAUGGAAACUAUUUGGGCGUCAAGUUCUGCUCAGAGAAAAUAUAGCUGGACCUGGCGGCCUAUUGUUGGUGCCAGCCUGUCUGCCAAGUCAAGAGGACUUCCCUGAAUGUGUCUUUCACAGUGUCACCUCACAGAUUGCUACAAAAAAAACGGUUCCCCUCUUUAGCCUUUCAGCAGUCAUGAAUUGGAUGGAGCCAAGCAUCAGAGACUCAGGAAUAACCCAAGGACAGAACAAGAACCACAGCACAAGUUGAAACUAAUGGAAAGGACCCUAACAUCAUGGAGAUCCAUCAUAGGACAAUGAUGAAGCCUUGCCUCAUGACAGUGUCCUUAAGAUCCCAAAGGGAGUCCUAGCCUGUAGUUGAGGUGAGGGGGGGGGGGCAAGGAUUUUUUGCCACCCUAGGCGAAAUAUAAUUUGGCCACUCAAUAAGCCUGCCCAUUGGCUCCACACUUUGACACGCCCCACCUUACUACUGGGGUGACACACUGUAACAAACCUCCCCCUCAUGUAAUCUCCUUACUACUGGGGUAACACACUGUA